This 138-nucleotide ribosomal RNA is filed under the name Prolemur simus (greater bamboo lemur). Lineage: Eukaryota; Metazoa; Chordata; Mammalia; Primates; Lemuridae. The record is from RNAcentral.
GUCUAUGCCACACCACCCUGAAUGCACCCGAUCUCAUCUGAUCUCGGGAGCUAAGCAGGGUCGUGCCUGGUUAGUACUUGGAUGGGGGGGACCAUUACAUCAUUGUCAAUGUCAGGAUCGUGCCGCUGGCCACAGUCA